CGUGUUACGUCACCGGAUACGCGCGUUCUAAUUUCAAUAUUGUUUAAAAAACACGGCAACGUGCUCGUUAUUGUUCGGUUCGGUGCAACGUGACAUCGAGAACGAUUAGUGCGUGCAGUGCGACGUACCUAUCCCGGGAUAUCGCCGCGCCGGUCAAAGGUCAAUUUCUUUCGAUGAGUGGAGGUUUAGUGCAUGUCUUUACAUCAUGACUAGAUCCACACUCAUCCAUGGAAGUUGCGAUGUUCUACAUACAGCGAGGACUCGAGCGCGAUGGCGGCUCGGUGAUUAUGGCCGGCUAUCAUUACCGGUGCCGUACUAAUGAUACGUUGAGCGCAGGUACGCAACUCGCGGAGGUAAUCGGCGUCUACCUGCGCGCUUCUCGCGGCAACCGAAAUGUCGUUACACGACCCGUUUUAACUAUUGCUUGCCCAAAAGCGGAAAGGGCGCGGCUAAUAGCGGCGCAAGCGCAUCUGCUCCUUCUAAGAAAGGCUAUUGUGGCGGGUCUCGCAGUGGUCAGUGAGCUGACGUCACGGGUUGGGGCCGACAACCUGACGCUGACAAACGUCCCCUCACCCCUCAAUUGCGUGCAAAUUACCAUACACAUCCGACGGAAUGCAAA
Molecule: long non-coding RNA, 619 nt
Organism: Zerene cesonia (dogface butterfly)
Lineage: Eukaryota; Metazoa; Arthropoda; Insecta; Lepidoptera; Pieridae
Exons: 2
Source: RefSeq, a predicted model, not a curated record